Molecule: ribosomal RNA, 1440 nt
Filed under: Lactiplantibacillus plantarum
Lineage: Bacteria; Bacillati; Bacillota; Bacilli; Lactobacillales; Lactobacillaceae
Description: bacterial SSU rRNA
Rfam family: Bacterial small subunit ribosomal RNA
Source: RNAcentral
ACGCUGGCGGCGUGCCUAAUACCUGCAAGUCGAACGAACUCUGGUAUUGAUUGGUGCUUGCAUCAUGAUUUACAUUUGAGUGAGUGGCGAACUGGUGAGUAACACGUGGGAAACCUGCCCAGAAGCGGGGGAUAACACCUGGAAACAGAUGCUAAUACCGCAUAACAACUUGGACCGCAUGGUCCGAGUUUGAAAGAUGGCUUCGGCUAUCACUUUUGGAUGGUCCCGCGGCGUAUUAGCUAGAUGGUGGGGUAACGGCUCACCAUGGCAAUGAUACGUAGCCGACCUGAGAGGGUAAUCGGCCACAUUGGGACUGAGACACGGCCCAAACUCCUACGGGAGGCAGCAGUAGGGAAUCUUCCACAAUGGACGAAAGUCUGAUGGAGCAACGCCGCGUGAGUGAAGAAGGGUUUCGGCUCGUAAAACUCUGUUGUUAAAGAAGAACAUAUCUGAGAGUAACUGUUCAGGUAUUGACGGUAUUUAACCAGAAAGCUACGGCUAACUACGUGCCAGCAGCCGCGGUAAUACGUAGGUGGCAAGCGUUGUCCGGAUUUAUUGGGCGUAAAGCGAGCGCAGGCGGUUUUUUAAGUCUGAUGUGAAAGCCUUCGGCUCAACCGAAGAAGUGCAUCGGAAACUGGGAAACUUGAGUGCAGAAGAGGACAGUGGAACUCCAUGUGUAGCGGUGAAAUGCGUAGAUAUAUGGAAGAACACCAGUGGCGAAGGCGGCUGUCUGGUCUGUAACUGACGCUGAGGCUCGAAAGUAUGGGUAGCAAACAGGAUUAGAUACCCUGGUAGUCCAUACCGUAAACGAUGAAUGCUAAGUGUUGGAGGGUUUCCGCCCUUCAGUGCUGCAGCUAACGCAUUAAGCAUUCCGCCUGGGGAGUACGGCCGCAAGGCUGAAACUCAAAGGAAUUGACGGGGGCCCGCACAAGCGGUGGAGCAUGUGGUUUAAUUCGAAGCUACGCGAAGAACCUUACCAGGUCUUGACAUACUAUGCAAAUCUAAGAGAUUAGACGUUCCCUUCGGGGACAUGGAUACAGGUGGUGCAUGGUUGUCGUCAGCUCGUGUCGUGAGAUGUUGGGUUAAGUCCCGCAACGAGCGCAACCCUUAUUAUCAGUUGCCAGCAUUAAGUUGGGCACUCUGGUGAGACUGCCGGUGACAAACCGGAGGAAGGUGGGGAUGACGUCAAAUCAUCAUGCCCCUUAUGACCUGGGCUACACACGUGCUACAAUGGAUGGUACAACGAGUUGCGAACUCGCGAGAGUAAGCUAAUCUCUUAAAGCCAUUCUCAGUUCGGAUUGUAGGCUGCAACUCGCCUACAUGAAGUCGGAAUCGCUAGUAAUCGCGGAUCAGCAUGCCGCGGUGAAUACGUUCCCGGGCCUUGUACACACCGCCCGUCACACCAUGAGAGUUUGUAACACCCAAAGUCGGUGGGGUAAC